Molecule: ribosomal RNA, 253 nt
Filed under: uncultured bacterium
Lineage: Bacteria
Description: partial 16S ribosomal RNA
Rfam family: Bacterial small subunit ribosomal RNA
Source: RNAcentral
UACGUAGGGUGCGAGCGUUGUCCGGAAUUACUGGGCGUAAAGAGCUCGUAGGUGGUUUGUCGCGUUGUCCGUGAAAACUCACAGCUCAACUGUGGGCGUGCGGGCGAUACGGGCAGACUGGAGUACUGCAGGGGAGACUGGAAUUCCUGGUGUAGCGGUGGAAUGCGCAGAUAUCAGGAGGAACACCGGUGGCGAAGGCGGGUCUCUGGGCUGUAACUGACGCUGAGGCGCGAAAGCGUGGGGAGCAAACAGG